CUUGUAAAAGAGGCGCCAAAUUUGUAAACCUCUGGGAACGAGCUCUGUCGCAGAAUUAGGGUUUAACAGAUCAUCAUCACUAUCGUCUUCUUCUCUCUCGAUCUGGACGAUGGAGUGCGAGAUGGAGGAUGAUCUCCCUGAGUUUGACCCCCACGACCUCCGCGUUCGGGAGAGGUUUCGACGUUACGGGAAAAGGCAGGCAUUUUCUGGCAUUUCUCAACACGAAGAUAAUUCAAGUUCAAAAUCUGCUGAAGCAAGGUUAUUUUUCAACGGACUUGAUAUCCAAAGACGGCCUAAUGCUGCACUUUUUCUAGAGGAAAUUAAACAGGAGAUUGAGAAUUAUGAAGUUGAUGACAUUGAAACGACUCCUGGAAGAGUGAUAUCCUCAUCCAGAAGAAGAUUGCCAGCUGAUGGGCAGAGUUUGUCUGAACUGGAUGAUGGAUAUAGGUCAGUUAAUCUACUGGCUACUCCUUCCUCGAAGCCCUACAAGCAUGAAGAUGAUGCUUCAGCUGAUACUGGAGGAACGACAUUCACUUUAUUUGCAUCACUUCUUGAAUCUGCACUCCAAGGACUAAUUCCCUUCCCGGAUCUGAUUCUACAAUUUGAGAACACAUGCAGGAACAUGUCUGAAACAAUAAGGGAUGAGGCCACUGGACGGCACCGGAUUGUAGAGGAUAAAUUAAUGCGGCAAAAAUCUAAGCUGUUGAAUGAUGAGGCAGCUACUUGGUCACUUUUAUGGUAUCUUUUUGGAAAAGGAAAUGAAGAAAUUCCAGAAAGCUUGAUUUUGUCUCCUUCAACAUCACAUCAAGAAGCAUGCCUGUUUGUUAUGGACGAUCAUACAACACAACUGUGUCUUCGAAUUGUUCAGUGGCUUGAAGGUUUGGCAUCAAAAGCACUUGAUUUGGAAAAGAAGAUUAGGGGUUGGCAUGUUGGUUCGUAUCUUCAUAAUUCAGGUUUAUGGCAACGGACACAGAGGUUUCUUAAGAAAGGAGUGUGUGAUUCUACUCUUGUACAACAUUUGGAUUUUGACGCCCCAACUCGGGAAGAUGCGUUGUUGCUCUCUGAAGACAAGAAACAAGAAGAUUCUCUUUUAGAAGACAUAUGGAUUUUACUAAGAGCAGGUCGAUUGGAAGAGGCAUGUGAGCUUUGUCGUUCUGCUGGACAGCCAUGGAGAGCAGGAACUCUAUGUCCAUUCGGUGGAUUGGAUCAGUUUCCCUCUGUUGAGGCACUAAACAGAAAUGGGAAAAACCGAUCAUUGCAAGCCACUGAACUUGAAAGCGGUAUUGGAUUUCAGCGCCGCCUCUGGAAAUGGGCUUGUUUUUGUGCUUCUGAGAAAGUUGCUGAACAAGAGGGCGGGAAGUUUGAAGCUGCUGUUUUUGCUAUUCAGUGCAGCAAUGUGAAGCGUGUUCUUCCUGUUUGUAAAGACUGGGAGUCUGCAUGUUGGGUGAUGACAAAGUCAUGGCUUGACAGUCAGAUUGAUUUAGAGUUGGCUCGUCUUCUGCAAAGCAAAUCAGGCCAAACAAAGAGUAACGAGGAUUCCUUUUGUGGUGUGAGUAGACAAGGUGAUCAGAGCAUGAAUGUUUAUGUUGGCACAGAAACAUGGCCAUCCCAAGUUCUUGACCAGCAGCCCCAUGACCUUCGGGCUCUUCUUCAGAAGCUUCAUUCAGGUGAAAUGGUACAUGAAGCUGUGUCCCGUGAUUGCAGGGAUCAGCACCGUCAGAUCCAGAUGGACCUCAUGUUAGGUGAUGUUGCUCACCUCUUGGACCUUCUGAAGUUUUGGAUAACUCCCUCAGAGGAUGACAAUGACAUGGUUUUCAGGCCUUGUGGUGAUCCUCAGUUGGUUCGCUUUGGCGCACAUCUGGUAUUGGUGCUGAGAUAUCUAUUAGCUGACGACAUGAAAGAUGCUUUUAAAGAGAAGCUUGUUAUUGUUGGUAAUUUUAUACUGUACAUGUAUGCUGUAUAUUUAUUUUCUCAGAACCAUGAGGAACUUGUUGGAGUUUAUGCAUCUCAACUUGCUCCUCAUCUUUGUGUUGACCUUUUUGUACAUAUAAUGGAAAUAAGAUUGAUGGCCAGUGUUCAUGUCAAGUACAAGAUCUUCCGGUCUGCGAUGGAGUACUUGCCUUUCUUAUCCACGGAUGCUUCCAAAGGCUGCUUUGGGGAUAUUCUUGAAAGGGUUUUAUCUAGGUCUCGCCAAAUCAUUUGUAAUAAAAGUGAUGAAAAUUCACACAAUGCAAUGGAGCAACAUCAACUACAAACCAUUAGGAAGGCUAUGGUUGUCCAAUGGCUUUGUUUUACUCCACCGUCGACAAUCAAUGGUUGUGAAGAGAUCAAAGCAAAACUUCUCAAACUGGCGUUGGCACAUAGCAACAUGCUGUUUAGAGAGUUUGCUCUGAUAUCCAUGCGGAGAACUCCUGAACUGCCUGCAGGAGCACAUUUGCUGCUAAGCUUCUUAGCUGAGCCUUUACAACAGCCUAUAGAUAGUUUAUUUAUGGAGGAAGAGGAUGACAUUUCUGAGGACAUGGUUGAAUUCAAAGAUUGGCAAGAAUUCUACUCCUGUGAUGCUACUUACCGGCGUUGGCUCAAAAUAGAGCUGGAGAAUGCAGUUGUUCCUCCUCAUGAACUUGCUGAAGAAGAAAGAGAAAAAGCACAUAUUGCCGCUAGAGAGAUGCUUGAUACAUCACUGGGUCUUCUGCUAAAGAGAGAAGCACCUUGGUUCGUUGAAGGUUCAACUGCUUAUAAUGAUCCUUCUGAUUGCAUGUUUCUUGAGUUACAUGCAACUUUGAUGCUUUGUCUACCAACAGGAGAGUCGGUGUCACCAGAUCCUACUCUUUGCACUACAUUGAUGAGUGCUUUAUAUUCUUCUGUUAGUGAAGACAUUGCAUUGGAACGCCAGCUGCAGGUUGAUGUUGCUCCCUCAUCAAAGGACCAGAGCUGUUUUGAAGCUGUAAUUCGAUGCCUGGCAGCUGAUAGGGAUGGGUUGAAGCAGCAUAAAGCAAAUGAUGGUGGCCUUUUAGCUGAGGUCAUAGCUGCAGGAUUUAAAGGUGAACUCCCUCGAUUUCAAGCCAAAGUAACGUUAGAAAUUUCGCAGCUUGAUGCUUGGUAUACAGAUGAUAUGGGUUCUUCUAGAACUCCAGCUCCUUACAUUGUCCGAGGCCUCUGCCGUCGCUGUUGCCUUCCAGAGACUAUUCUUCGCUGUAUGCAGGUUUAUGUAUCACUUGCUGAAUCAGGAAAAUUUUUAUCGAGCCAUGAUGAAUUAAUUGAUCUAGUUGCCUCAUCUCAGUCAGCAUUGCUUCCGUUGUUCAGCCCCCUUCAAUUGCAGGAAUUUCUAUUGUUUGAAAGGGAGUAUGCAAUAUUGCAAAUGGAAGCUCAAGAAGAGCCAUUGACAAGUCCUUGAUAACUUAUGACAUUUAUAGUUAUGUGUUAUCAUGAAGUGCCCAGUUGAGGAAUUCUGGCCAAUAUUUUCAGAUCUGAUUCUAUGGAUGAGCUUGGACGGCCAAAUUUUAGAGGUUGAAUAUAAUAUCAAAAUCUGAUGCGCAGUGUGUAUUUAACAACUCCCCUAGUUUUCACUGAAUUGAUCUGUUGAUUUUAAAACCUUCCUAUUGAUCCAUGUGUCAAGUUUGAAUGUUCUUUUCCAAUCCUAUAGGUUUAGGCCCUCCUAGCUCAUUUCUUUGGUUGAAGGCUGGACAAACACCAGAUGGCUAUGCAAUUUAGUUGUAUAUUUUAAGCAGACAUGUUUGUUCAUUUGUAUAUUUAUAAAAUACAAAUUGCUAAAGAAAAUAAUAGCAAGAUAGGCUAAAAAGUGUAAAACAGUGCCAUGUCCUGCACCUGUGUCCAUAUGUUCCCACGGGGGUGGUGUCCUUUCAGGAACUCAUUCGUAACCUGGUUGGUAACUUCAGAUUGCUUUGGAAAUAGCUGCAAUAUUUCCGUUUUGUCUCCAAUACAGCAAAUCUUCGUCCGCUUGAAUUUCAAUUUUAGCUUCGAGGGAUGUUGCUGUUAGUUUUCUUUGAGAAUAACUGUCCAAAGUAAUAUAUAUGCCAUUUACGGGCAUCACUGGAAGGUGAAAACCCCUGGGUUUACCCCUGGCAGCUAUGCAUUACGAACGAACGCCGUGUGGAAGCUCAUGGGGCGGAGUGGCAGGGAAGAAAAUUAUGUUACUCUUUUUUUUUUUUUUUGGUGCUUGCUUCUCAUGAGGUUUGUAUAUAUUUGGUCAAACAUUAGUUUGAAUUGGUUUUCAUACAAUGUUUCCUUGUAAAUGUAUUGUAAUAUUCGGGUAAUCAUUUCUGCAUUA
Molecule: RNA transcript, 4288 nt
Organism: Nymphaea colorata (pocket water lily)
Lineage: Eukaryota; Viridiplantae; Streptophyta; Magnoliopsida; Nymphaeales; Nymphaeaceae
Gene name: nuclear pore complex protein NUP107
Exons: 26
Source: RefSeq, a predicted model, not a curated record